AACGAACGCUGGCGGCAGGCUUAACACAUGCAAGUCGAGCGCCCCGCAAGGGGAGCGGCAGACGGGUGAGUAACACGUGGGAAUCUACCCAUCCCUACGGAACAACUCCGGGAAACUGGAGCUAAUACCGUAUACGCCCUUCGGGGGAAAGAUUUAUCGGGGAUGGAUGAGCCCGCGUUGGAUUAGCUAGUUGGUGGGGUAAAGGCCUACCAAGGCGACGAUCCAUAGCUGGUCUGAGAGGAUGAUCAGCCACAUUGGGACUGGGACACGGCCCAAACUCCUCCGGGAGGCAGCAGUGGGGAAUAUUGGACAAUGGGCGCAAGCCUGAUCCAGCCAUGCCGCGUGAAUGAUGAAGGCCUUAGGGUUGUAAAGUUCUUUCACCGAUGAAGAUAACGACGGUAGUCGGAGAAGAAGCCCCGGCUAACUUCGUGCCAGCAGCCGCCGUAA
This 447-nucleotide ribosomal RNA is filed under the name uncultured bacterium. RNAcentral describes it as "partial 16S ribosomal RNA". It matches the Rfam family "Bacterial small subunit ribosomal RNA", at positions 29 to 523 of the family's 1533-position model. The record is from RNAcentral.